AGGACGAACGCUGGCGGCGUGCUUAACACAUGCAAGUCGAGCGGUAAGGCUCCUUCGGGAGUACACGAGCGGCGAACGGGUGAGUAACACGUGAGUAAUCUGCCCUUCACUCGGGGAUAAGCCUCGGAAACGAGGUCUAAUACCCGAUACGACCGGCCUUCGCAUGAAGUGCUGGUGGAAAGUUUUGUCGGUGGAGGAUGUGCUCGCGGCCUAUCAGCUUGUUGGUGGGGUAAUGGCCCACCAAGGCUUCGACGGGUAGCCGGCCUGAGACGGGUGACCGGGCCAACGACCGUGGGACUGGAGACACGGCCCAGACUCCUACGGGAGGCAGCAGUGGGAAUAUUGGACAAUGGGCGAAAGCCUGAUCCAGCAACGCCGCGUGAGGGAUGACGGCCUUCGGGUGUAAACUCUUUCAGUACCGACGAAGCGCUCCUAGGAGUGGUGACGGUAGGUACGAGAAGAAGGACCGGCCAACUACGUGCCAGCAGCCGAC
This 493-nucleotide ribosomal RNA is filed under the name uncultured soil bacterium. RNAcentral's name for it is "bacterial SSU rRNA". It matches the Rfam family "Bacterial small subunit ribosomal RNA", at positions 26 to 518 of the family's 1533-position model. The record is from RNAcentral.